Molecule: unclassified non-coding RNA, 209 nt
Filed under: Hevea brasiliensis (rubber tree)
Lineage: Eukaryota; Viridiplantae; Streptophyta; Magnoliopsida; Malpighiales; Euphorbiaceae
Source: RNAcentral
GUCGCAUCGCCAUUUGUAUCCAUCCGAGUAAGGGUACAUUCAUCGGACCAGUUCUUCCUUCAGUUUUAGCAGUGGCUUCCAUACCGAAUCUAGGCUCUUCCUUUGGUGAUCAAAUAAGAAUCGCUUAUUACACUAGCGUGUUUUUUAUAAAGGAGAUAAACUAGUGUUACUCUACAAGGAGAUUACACAGGCAAAUAUGGACUUCUUAG